CAGGGGCCAGCCGCCUGCUCUGCCCACUCGGUCCCCGCCAGGUGUGAGCCCUAGUGGCCGCGGGUGCCAACCCAUCAGACUCCAUCAGACCCCCCAAGAUCACCCCAAAUGUCUUUAAAAUAUUUCAUAUAGUCAAAUGACUUUGUCAUGUAAACUAGACAAGGCAUCUUGAGGAAAUGUUUUCUGAUCUUUAGCACAAAAGUUAAAACAAGUGCUUGCUAUGCAACAGCGGCUUCCCAAUUAGAUUACCAUUUCUAAACCUUACUGUGUCAGGCUUUGAGCUAGACAUCAGGUUAGACUACAAGAAAUAUGAGAAUAUGAACCAGGGCUGGGAUUAGGUCCACCUUAUUCACUAUUGUAGUCUGGCCGUAGAGUUCAUGUCUGACACAGUUGGUGCUCAAUAGGACUGAAUGAGUGAGUGAAGGAAUGCCCUGCUAUGAAGGAGCACCCCUUUGUUGGGGAAGACUGUGAAGUACAGAUUUCAUUAUGUGGACACUCCUCUUGACCAGCCCAGCAUGAAUGAACUAGAAGAUGAACCAGACUGCUAACUAAUUGCUCUAACAGAGGUACAGCAAUGGUGCAGAACACACAGGAGUGGUCUGACCCAAUGGAAGAGGUUUCACAGAGACAGGUGAAGACUGGAGUGGAAAGAAUGGCCUUCCUUUCCCCGCAGCUCUGCAAGUCCCUCUCCUUCAGCUGGCUAUCUUCCUCACUGUAAGAAGUGUGACAGGGGCUAUUUUCCAGGGCAGCCCCAGGGUAACCAGGCAGUCUGCCUCAGAUCAGACCAGGCAGGUGUGGCCUGGAGCUGGUGCAGCCAAGAGAAGGAAUGAUAUGAUAAACCUCCAUGUAACCAUCACCCAGCAUCAUUAGUUACCUUCCUUCAAACAAUUCUUAAAGGACAGCCCGUGGCGGCGAGAAGUUCGACAGUCCCAGUCAGUCCUCACUCGGCCACUGACCAGCUGUGGGACUUCGCCUGGGUCAUCCAUCCCCUCUGAGCCUUCCUUUCCCCUCCUUUGCAAGUGGAGCCAGUCACACAUCUCCCCAAGGGCUGUAGUGAAGAGACAAGAAACCGCCACGAAAAGCACGACGCUGGUGUCAGGAAGUAUGUCUCAUGAACGGUCACUCUGCCAACCUAUUUCAGCGGCCCUUCUGCAGGACCCCUCUGUGGAGGGCACGAAGACACGGAGCUGGACGGGAGAGCAUGCUGACUGGAAAGAGCUGGGGAGAAACGAGCUGGGGACCGGGUUUGAGAAAGCGACACAUGGACUCCAGAGGCAACAGCAAGAAUCCGAGAAGAGCAAGUCUGAGCACAAGGCCAAGCGGAAAAUCAAGUGGGGUUAUUUUUUUUACUAACCUACAUGGGCAGCAACACACAAAACUAUGGCUCUUGGGCCCCGAUUCCUGCAGUGAGGUGCCUCACAUCUCGGGUUGCUAGAGAGCAGAGGCGAUCCUGCUCCAGAACCUCCCUGCUCCGCCUCCUCUCCGCCUUGACCCCUCACCACUAAAAGCAACAAGAUUUCCAGUAAAUGUGGGGAAAACUCAUCUCUCUUCCUCUGUAAAAGGUGGAGGGGGGCAGGGUACUAAAAAUGGAGAAAGGUCCACCACACCAACUCCAGCCAACCGGGAGCCUGAUUUCCUUAGCGAGAUUAAGAUCUGGAUCCAAGGAGUGGUUUAACCCAACCCCCCAGCACUUGGCCCAAGAUCUUCUGUCAGUUUUCCUCCUGGAACUCCCUAGAGCAAGGCUUCUUCAGGUCUCUUCCCCCAUUUGGCAGCUCAUGGAAAACUGCCUGAAAUAGUAACAGCUAGGUCUGAAUUAGUAAAGAACUCUAGUUAUGGGUGGGCUCGAGCUAAGAAAGAAGCUCCAUGGGCCUCCUGGUUUAUUUGGGCCCUGAGAACAGACUCCACCAACACUAGCCUCAGAAUUCUUGAAUUCUGCCCUUUAAGGCCAAACUUUCCCGCCCUCUCUUCAUAGCAGCAGCCUCCACAGCUGCUGGGGAAAUUUAGCAGGUACAUUCUAGAGCCUGGAGCCAGUUGCAUAGCAUUGUGGGUUAAGCAGAGGUAAUGAGAAUAGUGAGUAAUGAUCAGGAGCCAGAGUCUGGGUGUAAAAUCCCAGCUCUGUCUUUUGCUACCUGUAUGGCCUUGGGCAAGUCACUUCACCUAUGAAAGGCUCAUACCAACUGGUGUGUUGAAGAUUAAACAGGCGUUAACAUCUGUGUAAGUGCUUGGCAUUGUGCCUCGUCCAUUUCAUACCCCAUAAGGGAUAUCUACAAUUAUCCUUACAGCCUUAGAAAGAACAGAGGCAGAGUUUGAAGCCUGCCUUGACUGUUUACUGACUAGCCUGUGGAAAAUUACUUAAUUUUUUAAGUUUCAUGUUCCUCAGCUGUAAAACGAGGUGGGUAAAUUACAGGAAAAACAUCCUUUGGUCCUUCUGCCCCUUCCCAAUGUAUACUCAACACUCAACACUGACAACACACUAGAAAAAGAGCAUGCAGUUAGGGUACGUGGGUGGCUCAGCUGGUUAAGUAUCUGACUCUUGAUGUUGGCUCAGGUUAUGAUCUCAAGGUUGUGAGACUGAACCCUGUGUUGAGCCCACGCCAAGCCUGCUCAAGAUUCUCUCCCUCUCCCCCUGUUCACUCCCCCCCACUCCAACCCCAAAGCAUACGCUCUCACUCCCUCAAAAAAAAAAGAGAGAGAGAGAGAGAGAAACCUGUCCCAGGGCUUGAUCUGUCCACAGGCUGUCACGGAAGCUGAGGGAAAAAUGUGCACUGGGAGGGAGACAGUCAUGUCCUGGUGUAGCGGUGAAGUGGAAAACAAAACAACUGUUUAUUUUUCCCUGAAUGCACUGCUGGCUGAAAUGGCCAGGCAGUUUUACAGAACUUCAUUCCCUUAACCAAACAUCCCGGCUGAAAUGGGCAAAAGCCCUUAGACUUGUCACAGGAGAGCCCUUUGCAGCCAAGUGAGCCCCCUUGGUUUCCCCUUUCCCACCCCAUCACUUCAUCUCUCUGCAAUCAAGUUCAAACUCAAUCUCAACAGUGU
Molecule: long non-coding RNA, 3036 nt
Organism: Mustela erminea (ermine)
Lineage: Eukaryota; Metazoa; Chordata; Mammalia; Carnivora; Mustelidae
Exons: 3
Source: RefSeq, a predicted model, not a curated record